AGCAGGCUGAGAGAAGGAACCAAUGCUUUUAGACUCAAAACUUUAAUCAGAGAACCAACAAAUAUGCACACACGGAGGGCGUUUCUACCUUGGCCUGCAGCAACACAGGUGACUGAUUUACAGACUGUCCCCACACCCAAUGGCUGCCAGUUUUCCAGAGUCCCUAUUGUGUCACAGCCCUGCAACACUUUGUACACUCUUUUGGUAUACAACAUGCCCAUCUCCCCGACAAGACAGAGCUCCAGAGGAUGGGAACCAUGUGCGAGAAGUUAAAUGUUGCAGCCAUUUGAAAAACAGUGUAAGGCCCCAAUGGUUAGCCAACAGGUUCGCAGUUUCAACUAAGUUUAACAAACUUAACCAGCAGAACUCCAGGUGCAAAAGUUGAAAAGCCCAAGGGUGCAGAGCACUCACUCCCUCACCAUUUUCAGCACCUAAAAUAUGAAAGGUAUUCAAAGUAUGUGUCCAGUGAUUUCAUAAGACUACUGUGUUUCAGCAAAGGUGUGACUGAGCCACUUAGUGGUAGGGAAUAAACACCCAGAGCUGACAAGACACUGGUAGGGAACUGGUUGUGUGGUUCCAUCUCACUGGACUCUCCAACAAUCCUUGGUGAUCCCAGAACUUCCUGUGACAUGAGGGAAUGUGGCAUUUUCAAGAUGUCACUUGUCAACUAACAGCAAUCGUCGAUGAAAAUGGGUUCAUUUCUGAUUCCAGAAGCUUCAGAGCAGUAGUGCAUAGCGUAUGGAUACUACCUGCCCCCGAGCCUAGCAAAUUGCCUGGUGAGCGGCCAUCCUGGAUAAAUGGUGAAUGAUGACAUCCCAGUGGUCACUUCCACACACCACAGAUAUCCAGCUCACUCUCCUCACCACACUUGUGCUCAUGUUGUU
This 884-nucleotide long non-coding RNA is filed under the name Pan troglodytes (chimpanzee). RNAcentral's name for it is "long non-coding RNA NONPTRT008582". The record is from RNAcentral. Lineage: Eukaryota; Metazoa; Chordata; Mammalia; Primates; Hominidae.